Long non-coding RNA from Hibiscus syriacus, 276 nucleotides. RefSeq lists it as uncharacterized. NCBI's taxonomy places the organism in Eukaryota, Viridiplantae, Streptophyta, Magnoliopsida, Malvales, Malvaceae. The record is from RefSeq and is a predicted model, not a curated record. The transcript has 2 exons.
AUAAAAUUUGAACUUACAGGGACGUGAGAGUCUCUGGCACUGCGCUUGGCAUCGGUGGCCGAGAAGACUGUGUAAACAAGAACGAAGGUGCCAAAGAUUUCAGCACCAAGGCCAUCUCCCUUGGUGUAACCACGAGCCACCGAGUUAGCUCCGCCGCCCAAAGCACCGUACCUUGUCUUCCCCAUUAACCCUUUAACCACACCAGCACCACAUAUGGCGCCCAAGCACUGCAUCACCAUGUAGAAAAUCGCCCUUGUCAAGGACAAUUUUCUUCCC